RNAcentral lists this long non-coding RNA (824 nucleotides) under Heterocephalus glaber (naked mole-rat). RNAcentral's name for it is "lncRNA (ENSHGLG00100047678.1)". Lineage: Eukaryota; Metazoa; Chordata; Mammalia; Rodentia; Bathyergidae. The record is from RNAcentral.
CCCCGCCCUGGGCGGCUCCUGGCCUGGGACAGCCUCGGGGCAGGUAAUCCCUGAACUCCAGUGGGAAGUUUGCUUAGCUACAGGGUGCGGUGUCCUGCCCAGCAUCAGCAGCACGGAGGCAGGAAGACAGGAGACUGGCUAGCCACAAAGGCCAGGACUUCUCAUCUCAAGUCUGACUCCCAGAAGCCACAGAAAAUGAAACUCCCCCCAAACCCCGGUCUUUGCCUCCAGAGUUGGGCCGCAGUGACCAGUGGUCAGCAGGCAAGAAUUUCCAGCUCAUUGUCCACCUGCUGAGGAAAUGGAGGGAUCUCCGGGUGGUAGACUUAAUGUCACUGAAACACGCCUCAAGGAUCCCAGCUAAUUGGAGACCAGAUCCUUUUAGGAAGAUACGAAUGGAACUCUGAAAUUUAAACCAGUAUUACAAUGAUAUAGGGGAAAGAGAUAUAAACCUGCUAGAUAUCCAAAGCGCAAGUUUGUGUUCUCUAAAAUCAAAGAAUGAAUUCUAGGAACAACGGCGGGUAAGAGUAGGAAAAAUUUAUUGAGAGAAAGAUAGCUUCUGCCUAAGAGAGACAGAAGGGGGACCGGGAAGUGGGUUGCCCAGGGACCCCGUUUCCUAGGGGGUUUAUGGAGCAAAGCCACGAGCUGAGGCGGGUUCAAGGUGGGACAAAAUUAUAGUCAACUAGGCAGAUUACAAAUACAAUCGUUUAGGGAAUAUUGAUCCAGUGGGGAAUCACAGGCGGGUAUGAGGUGGGGCAAAACUAUGAUCAACCAAUAAGAUUACAAGAAUAGUUGCUUAGGUAAUAUUGAUUAAAUGGGGAGCCAGU